UUUAAUGGAAUUUGCACACCU
RNAcentral lists this non-coding RNA (21 nucleotides) under Caenorhabditis elegans. The record is from RNAcentral. Lineage: Eukaryota; Metazoa; Nematoda; Chromadorea; Rhabditida; Rhabditidae.